GAAAAAGUGAAUAGCAUUCCACUUACUGCCAAAGCAGACAUACUCCCACUGAGGAAUGCCAAAAGUUUAAAAAACAGAUAAUGAAAGAAAUUCAGGAACAUAAAACAUAUGAAUUUCCAGAAACAGAAGAUAAGGAAGAAAAUAAUUGGUUAAAAAGAUAAAGGGCCAUUGACCUCUUGCUGUGGGAGGCAGUAAUACUAUUAUUGAAGUUAAUGGCAAAAGGGUCAGAAGGAGGCAGCAUAUCCUUGGGGUGUGGCUGAAGUUGAAAAUGGUGAGCAUUUUGAUUUUACAAUACUAAGAAAUAUGUUGAUAAGAACAUAGAUGCAGGAUUGAAAAAUGUUACUAAUAAUGUACACGAUGAGAACGACAGAAGCAGAAAACUUGCAGCUGGAACUUACAAUGGAGUUGAUAAAACAAGAAUAAAGGGCAGCUUAUGAAGAGCUCUCUGGCACAAAGGGAAGGAGAAAGGAGGGAGCAUGUAGCCAAGAUGAAGAAGGUGGAAAUGGAGAUGGAGCAGGUGUUUGAGAUGAAAGUCAAGGAAAAGUUAAAAAAUUGAAGGACUUUGAAGCCGAGGUGUAGUGACGCCAUGAGCCAAUGAAAAAGAAUUUGGAAGCCCAACAUAAGGAACUAGAGAGGAAAUGAUGUCAGUUUGUGAAGGAGAAAGCAAACUGGGAAGCUAAGCAAUGUACUUUAGAGCAACAUAACUCCUCAGGGACCUUGGAAAGAAACAAGAAAGGAAGAUCUUUUAAACUCUCUAUUGACCUCCCGUUAUGUAUUAGUUGCCAAUAUGCCAGCUUGGACAUCAGUGUUUGUGGGCUCCAUUUGACCAAUUUGUACCACUUUUAUCCAUAAUGAUGAAUUUAACAGUAGACAAAAUUUUUUUAUUGUUGUUGUUGUUGUUGAUGGAGAUUAAGAUGC
This 918-nucleotide long non-coding RNA is filed under the name Marmota monax (woodchuck). The record is from RNAcentral. Lineage: Eukaryota; Metazoa; Chordata; Mammalia; Rodentia; Sciuridae.